GCUUAUCUUCUCCCGUCCCCUGCAACUGGAAGGAAGGAACACGUCCGCGCCAGCCAAGCAGAGAGGGGAUCCCGCAUCCAUGGAGGUGGUGGGCGGCGUUUCGCUGAGGCCGUCGCCAGCGCCGGCGCGUAUCCGACGGACCACCCUGUCAUGCGUCGACGUAGGCCGACGCCUCGUUCUCAGGCCCGCAGGGGCGCCGCUGGGCCAGCUGCCGGCGAGGCGCGCGCUGGUAGUGGAGGCCCGGGGGAGGAGCUGGUCGGAACGGCAGAUGCAGCAGCAGCGGCGCAUGCCGCAGCUGCCCAAGAUCGAGGACGACGGCAACCCGCGAUUCGUCAUCUUCAUCCGCACCGCCAAUGUCUACUUCUGGUACCCGCUCAACAUCAUCACGGGCGGGACGACGGCGAAGAUCAUGCUUGCUGCUAAGGACAACUUCCUCGGCAAGUACAUCUACAAGGACACGCUCGCCAGGAACCUCGCUGCCGUCAUUUACAAAGAUGAGGAUGAGAUUAUAGACACAGCAAAAGAGCAGUACCGUGUGCUCAAGACCGAAAAUGAGUUUCGGUAUGGCUACAAAGUUGUGGAGAAAGGGAACAUAAGGUCUGCUCUGACGACAAGCAAUGUGAUUGAAGUAUGUUUCCUUAGUUUUUCUCGAGUUCUGUCACAAUUCCAUAGACAUUAUUCUAGUUGAAGCCCUAUUAGUGGACAAAACUAAAUCGACAUAUGCUUUCAGACGGAGCUUCCAAAGAAAGACGAGCUCAAAACUGUGGUUGACAAGGUGAAGGACUUCUUUGGCGAUGUAACUGCUGGCGCCAAAGAAUCCUUUGCGCAGAUAACCGGGUCUGCUGUCAGCAAAGAGGAAGAGGAAGCAGAAAACAAAGAGAAGUUCCGCUCCAAGAGGCGAAAGAAGCAGCGGAAGUCGAAGGAGGGCCUCAAGACGGAGAAAUGAUUCAGUCACUCAGCACAUUGUCAGACAAGUAAAGCAUCGAUCGGCUGUAGUUUCGCUAUCCAUGUCCCAGAGCUGCUCUGUAAUUUGUCCAGCUUCUAAAUUUUUGCAAAGAGACAACGUGUAACUUCCUUGCGACUAACAUGUGUUUUGCCUUCUCACUAAAUUUCACAAAAUCCGGUGAAGGGGUUAAGGUUACUUUCUCAUUCCAA
This is an RNA transcript of Sorghum bicolor (sorghum), 1155 nucleotides long. It is a transcript of the gene named protein HHL1, chloroplastic, with no coding region annotated. Lineage: Eukaryota; Viridiplantae; Streptophyta; Magnoliopsida; Poales; Poaceae. The transcript has 6 exons. The record is from RefSeq and is a predicted model, not a curated record.